This 1696-nucleotide transfer RNA is filed under the name Sus scrofa (pig). RNAcentral describes it as "lncRNA (ENSSSCG00005008808.1)". Lineage: Eukaryota; Metazoa; Chordata; Mammalia; Artiodactyla; Suidae. The record is from RNAcentral.
CAGGAUGAUUUCAUUUUAUAGAUGUACUUCCGUAUAUUGUUUGAAAUGUUGUAUUCAGGGAAGAAGUAUUUUGACACAAAUUUAAAAGCAAACAGAUUCGGAAAAGUAAUGUAGGCAUGUAUUCAUUGCUUCAGAAAAGCAUUUCUUUUAUUCUAUGUGUAAACAGGAAGUAGGAAAAAUAGAAUUGGAAGUGUCUUUAUCUGCACAUGUGUGUUUCCAUGUCUCCUUCAGCUCGAUCACCCUGAGUGCUCCCACUCUCACAGGAGGUACUUUAUCUUCAGUUCAUACCAAAGCUGGACUUCCAAUCUCAGGUUUAUAUUUUCAUCUUAUUAGUUCUAGUUGUGAUGUUUGUGUUAUGUGCCAACUUGGCUGGCCAUGAGGUGCCCAGAUUAAAGAGGAUUCUGGCUGUGGCUGUGAGGGUGUUUCUGGAUUAGGCUGGUAUUUGGAUUGGUGGACACAGUAGACUGUCCUCCUCACUGUGAGAGGGGCUCAUCUGCUUAAAGCCUGGAUAGAACAAAAAGCAGAGGGAGGGAGUUCCCUGGUGGUCUAGCGGUUGGGACUCAGUGCUGUCACUACUGCGGCUUGGGUUCAAUCUCUGGUCUGGGAACUGAGAUCUCACAUCAAGCGACUACACGCUGUGGAAAGAAAAAAAAAAGGCAGAGGGAGGAGGAAUUCUCUUUUGCCUCCUGCUGCAGUGCCUGACCUCUCAUCUCAUCCUCGCUGACCCUCACCCCACAAUUGAAGCCAUCAGCCUCCCUGGUUUUCAGGCCUUUGGAACCUCUCAGCCUCCAUAACUGCAGGAUUGAGAUGAUUCUCCUUUUACAUGCAAAUACACAUCAGACUGUUUCUGUUUCUCUGGAGGACCCUCAAUAAAACAAUAGUGACUUAGGCAUAUUUUAACAUGUUUAUUACUCAUAUGUAUAUUUAUUUGAAUUCUCUGUUGAAACUAGUUGCCAAUCAUUUUGUGACUGAGUUCGCAUCACAAAUCAUGGAUAUUAGCCCAAUAUGAGCGUGAUUUACAAGUUUUAUCCUGUUUUAACAUGUCUUUUUUUCACUUAGAAAGUUUUAAAUUUCAAUAAUAUAGUUUAAAAACAAUGCAAGUAUUAUCAAAGAAAAAAUGUGAGGAGUGGGUACUUCCAGCCUCCGGGUGGGCGGUGAGAGCAUUCGGAGUCCUGGAGGUACCAAGACCAAAUGGGAAAGACUUGGGAGUGAUUCCACAGUUGGCUACUGAGCUGGAGACAACAAGGUGUCUACCUGACUUAGUUAUUCCCCUAAAGCCAGCACCCUGGUAUGAAGGUUGGUCAUAAGGAAGGGUAGCUUGAAUAGUUGUUGAGAUUAAAGGAGAUGAAAUACAGAGUGCAAUUUCUUAAGGCUUUUCCUUACCUAUCACUUUUCUUCCCUCCAGAUCACCCGUCUUGAGGGCAACACCUGAGCUUCUGCCUGUGCCCCGCUCCUCCUUCCAGGGAUGAGCCCACGGAUGUGGCUGAGACACCCAGGUCUCCUGACAGAAGGGGCAGGAUUUCAUUCUGUCAUCUUAUCUUCCUCACCCAGAGGGGUUGGUGAGUACCCUUGGGGCCACCACAGCAGGGAGUGUGAGUGACCCUUUCUCCAGCGCUGGGAGCUCAUCUUCUAAAAGGGUGACUGCUGUGUGUCCUCUAGAGAGGGUGAAGGGUGGAAGCUCAGCCCAUCCUGCCAC